This 884-nucleotide long non-coding RNA is filed under the name Vigna radiata. RNAcentral's name for it is "long non-coding RNA (VRAD_LNC001283)". The record is from RNAcentral. Lineage: Eukaryota; Viridiplantae; Streptophyta; Magnoliopsida; Fabales; Fabaceae.
GGGUUGGGAUUAAAGAGGGAAUGGAGACCGACAAGGUAAAGGUGGACAUGGUUAGGUUAAGGUUUUCUUUCUAGGCGGCAUUGACCUCAGAGUGNCUUUACAUUGCAUUAACCGUAAAAGUCAAUAGAAAAAUGGCAGUAAUCAAAGAUUAUACAAGUAGACAUGCAUAUCCAAAUUAAAAUCCUCUCCAUGAUAUCAUUCUCUAGGCAUACACAAAAUAAAGGAAAAAGUUACAUAAGCUAGAAGAAAUUAAAUCAACAAAAUGAAAAAAGAAAACAACGGGUAUAGCCAGCAAGUUUCAAACCUAGGAUGCAAGGUUCAAGCUUGAUCUGCUUCCCAGCAAUGUCAAUCUUAUUCAAAGCACGAAGAGAAAUUCCGCAACUCGGACAUCAUACAAACCAUUACCAGGUCAUAGUUGAAAUGAACACAGGGAUUGAAGAAGAUGCAGAGGCUCUCCAAACGAGGGAUGCAAGGUCGACGACGAAGGCCUUGUUGGAUUUAGGAUGAAUGUGGAGAAGGGUGAGGAGGUUAAACUCGUCACGAAGGAUGUUACCAUUGUCAGAGAUUCGUUGGGGUAGUAGUUGUAGGCUUAGGGGUUGGGAUUAAAGAGGGAAUGGAGACCGACAAGGUAAAGGUGGACAUGGUUAGGUUAAGGUUUUCUUUCUAGGCGGCAUUGACCUCAGAGUGCGAGAAUAGGAGUCCUAGGGUUCCUCUGUGACAAAUGUAGGGUUCGUUGACGGAGAACACGGGUACCACAACAAGGAGGCCACAACUUGAAGACGACGAUUGGAGGCAGGGACUCCUAGGGUUUGAGCCACGAAGAUGAUCGUUCGAUGAAUGAAGAUGAUGGUUACAGAUGAUGGAGGGAAAAAAGCACGAGAAGA